AUUGAACGCUGGCGGCAGGCUUAACACAUGCAAGUCGAGCGGCAGCGGAAGGAAGCUUGCUUCCUUGCCGGCGAGCGGCGGACGGGUGAGUAAGGUAUGGGGAUCUGGCCGAAGGCGGGGGAUAACCACUGGAAACGGUGGCUAAUACCGCAUAAUCUCUAAGGAGCACAGUGGGGGACCGUUCAGGACUCACCACUUCGGAUGAACCCAAAUGAAAGUAGCUAGUAGGUGGGGUAAUGGCACACCUAGGCGACGAUCUCUAGCUGGUCUGAGAGGAUGAUCAGCCACACUGGGACUGAGACACGGCCCAGACUCCUACGGGAGGCAGCAGUGGGGAAUAUUGCACAAUGGGCGCAAGCCUGAUGCAGCCAUGCCGCGUGUAUGAAGAAGGCCUUCGGGUUGUAAAGUACUUUCAGUCGUGAGGAAGGUGUUAAGGUUAAUAACCUUAGCAAUUGACGUUAGCGACAGAAGAAGCACCGGCUAACUCCGUGCCAGCCGCCGCAGUAA
This 507-nucleotide ribosomal RNA is filed under the name uncultured bacterium. RNAcentral describes it as "partial 16S ribosomal RNA". It matches the Rfam family "Bacterial small subunit ribosomal RNA", at positions 30 to 523 of the family's 1533-position model. The record is from RNAcentral.